UACGUAGGGUGCGAGCGUUGUCCGGAAUUAUUGGGAGUAAAGAGCUCGUAGGCGGUUUGUCGCGUCGGCCGUGAAAACUUGGGGCUUAACCCCAAGCCUGCGGUCGAUACGGGCAGACUUGAGUUCGGCAGGGGAGACUGGAAUUCCUGGUGUAGCGGUGAAAUGCGCAGAUAUCAGGAGGAACACCGGUGGCGAAGGCGGGUCUCUGGGCCGAUACUGACGCUGAGGAGCGAAAGCGUGGGGAGCGAACAGG
RNAcentral lists this ribosomal RNA (253 nucleotides) under uncultured bacterium. RNAcentral describes it as "partial 16S ribosomal RNA". It matches the Rfam family "Bacterial small subunit ribosomal RNA", at positions 524 to 776 of the family's 1533-position model. The record is from RNAcentral.